RNAcentral lists this long non-coding RNA (334 nucleotides) under Lathyrus oleraceus (garden pea). RNAcentral's name for it is "Pisum sativum (pea) long non-coding RNA (PSAT_LNC020043)". Lineage: Eukaryota; Viridiplantae; Streptophyta; Magnoliopsida; Fabales; Fabaceae. The record is from RNAcentral.
UUGAAUUUUUUUUUUGUUGUGGCUCAUGAAAAUUUGAGGGAAUAGAUAAUAGAAAUUUGUUCACACUCGGGACUUAACUUAGAGUAAUAGAAUUUUUUUUUUUUUUAUAAUAUAAAUAAUAAUAAUUAAAAUAGUAAUGAAAAGAAAGGUACAUACUUGAAGAAAUGGAAAUAGAAAGAACAUGGUUUCCCCCCCAUACUUAAAUUAAACAUUGUCCCCAAUGUUUUAAGGAAAUGAAGUACAAUAUGGAAAGGGAAAAAAAAAGAAACUACAACUAAGGCUGCCUUCCGCCUCUGGUUCUUGGGCCAGGUGAUCUCUGACGUAAGUCUAAAUU